UUUUUCUUGAACCUUUUUGGAGCCUGUUUAAAGUUUUCUUUAUAUCAUUGAACGAGUCUCUGUGUUUUCAAUACCCGACACCCUCCGCACGUUCUCGGACACAGGCCGCGCAGCAGACGUGACAGUGACCGAAGUCCUUUUCCCAUGGUGCAAAAUAAAAUAAGAUAACAUCAUGGCUUAUCGAUUUGUCCAGAAGUAAUUUGUACAACUCAGACACAAACUCCUUGCCUUUAGUGCCCCCAAAAGUAUCCUUUUAUUGGUUUUGAGUAAGUUAUUUGACUUCAUCUAAGUGUGGUACACAGUUUCGAAGCUAUAGCUGAGUAGAGUAUGGCUCACAGCAGUAGAGUGCUUGUCUAGCCUGGGCAAGUCCAUAGAUUCAGUCCUCAGAAGGGGUCGGGAGAAGCAUGUCAUGUGGUGCUCCUUAAAUGAUCUGUUUUUGGUGGUUUUGAAACGAAGUCUCCCUAUCUUCCCAUGUAACCCAGGCAGGUCUUGACAUCCUGUCCUCAGCUGCCUGAGCUGGGAUUACAGGCCUAUACCUACUAUCCCACUUGGCUUAGCCUUUGUAAUGAAGAAAAACUCUGUCUUAGAAGUUCCUCCAUUUUUUUUCUUUUGGAAUAUCUAUAGCUUAGAAAACACACUUUACCCUGCAAACAUAUAGGUGGUUAGAAAGAGAUUUAUAAAUAUGCCUUUUCUGGUAUCAUUUAUUUUAAGAGUAUUUUUUCACCCCACGACAGUCACUUGAGGCUGACAGCGUUUCCAUGGUAACCACGUUCCUCCCAUAAAAAAACACUGGAUGCUGAUAAAUAUCGAUCCUUUAAUGUCUCAACACCUUUGAUUACCCCGUCUUGAGUCCCCACGUGAAAGGGCUUCAUGUUAGGGCAUAGGCCACGCCCAGCAUGGCAAGGAAGUGCUCAGCAGAUCUGCUGUUUCUGGCGGGGGAUGUGAGGAUCCCAGGGGGAAUCUGACUCAGCCUGCAUGAGCUAAUGGACCGUCUGCAGUGUGCAUGAAAUUACUUUCUGAGCAGCCGAGAGAGAAGCCAAAGGGAGGCCUCUGCAGAGUGAAUUUGGCAUCCAUCUAUCAUCUCCGUGAGACAAUCUGGAGGCUCUUGCGUUACUCUCUGCUGUAACCAAGAAAACAAACAAAGGCCCCACGAAGCUUCACUGGGCAACAACUGGCCACUGGAAAGGAACUGGAACCAAGAUAGAGUUGCUUGGGUUUUAUCCUCGAGUCUCCGAAGCCCAAGAGUGCUCAAAGGUAGACAUGAUUCUUCCCCGUUCCAUUUAAGCUUAACCAAGUCAGCACAGAGGUUUGUAAUGAAAAGAUUCUGCAUGCAGACCACCCAGUAUCCUGAUGUCUUGAGAACUUUGAGGAGAAUAAAGGGGUUCCAGAGCUA
Mesocricetus auratus (golden hamster) is the source of this 1393-nucleotide long non-coding RNA. RefSeq lists it as uncharacterized. The transcript has 2 exons. NCBI's taxonomy places the organism in Eukaryota, Metazoa, Chordata, Mammalia, Rodentia, Cricetidae. The record is from RefSeq and is a predicted model, not a curated record.